AUACAUUUCUCGGCCUUUUGGCUAAGAUCAAACGUAGUAUCUGUUCUUAUCAGUUUAAUAUCUGAUAAAUGAGUCAUCGACUCACACGGUAUUAACUCAUUUUUUUUAAGGGGAGAGUCCAUUAAGGUAGCUUGCUACUUGGGCUCUCAAGCGCGCAUGCAUUGCACUACUGCAUGGGCCUGGCGCACCCCAC
RNAcentral lists this small nuclear RNA (193 nucleotides) under Nicotiana attenuata. RNAcentral's name for it is "snRNA U2". It matches the Rfam family "U2 spliceosomal RNA". Rfam says of the family: U2 is a small nuclear RNA (snRNA) component of the spliceosome (involved in pre-mRNA splicing). Complementary binding between U2 snRNA (in an area lying towards the 5' end but 3' to hairpin I) and the branchpoint sequence (BPS) of the intron results the bulging out of an unpaired adenosine, on the BPS, which initiates a nucleophilic attack at the intronic 5' splice site, thus starting the first of two transesterification reactions that mediate splicing. Lineage: Eukaryota; Viridiplantae; Streptophyta; Magnoliopsida; Solanales; Solanaceae. The record is from Rfam by way of RNAcentral.